ACACUCCAUUGUCUGUAUCUGCACUGAUACAGAUAUAUGAAAUUAAUCCAACACUUCUCUCAGCUUCUUUUGCUCCCACCUUUCUUUGGUCAGACAAGCAAUUGGAACAUAUUCAUUGGUUAUAAAAAAAAAAACUAGCAAACCAUAAUCAGUAAUGACACAGACAUGAACCUCAAUCAUUUGUUACAGAUUGACAGUUUUUAUUUACUGAGGAUAUAGAGAGUUCAUCAGAGAUAGAUAAUCCAGGAUUUGAUUGUGUGUCUUCUGUCCUGAAUUCUAUUCUUCAAUUCUAAAAGCACAGGGUAGUUCAAGACACUACAUGGCUCAUUUGCAUAUGAUAAUGAGUUCUUUAAGCCUUUAAUGGGUCUUGCAAGUACCAAAGAAAAGCAGUGUUUGAAAAACAUAUUUCCAUUUCCACAUAAAUGUGUCACCUGGUCUUAUUUUCAUAUUCAGAAUAAGUGUAACACGGACACUGGCAAUGCAAAUUUCCUGUCUCACAUACAUGAAAGGAUAGCAUCUUCUAAUUUCUUUAGUCUUUAGUCAUUUGCUUGGGCUGUCAAGGAUGGAUCCAGUUAAUAACAGUUGCACAGGUGCAUUUUAUCUAUACUACCACAUUAACAUCUAUUUCAUAAGAAAAGAACUGAUGACACUGACUCACUUUAUAGGCAACAAGCAAUCAUUCAAUCAUUGCCAUUAUUAUCAUGGUCAAUGGCAACUUUUAAUCAACAGCAACGAAUCUAUAACUCCUCUUGAGUUGGCAAUCUGCAGCAAGACAGAACUCAGAAUCCAGUGUUUCUUCCAGCUCCUCCUGCUCUUCAGAUCCUGUGAAUGUUGCAGACCAGGACAAAGCAUUUCAUGGGUUACCUGAAUUACUUGAUAAAUGUUGGUGGAUAAAAAGCUUUUUCCAUUGUGAACCAUCUCCACCAACUGUUGGCAGAAAAACACUAUCUGCAAGCAG
RNAcentral lists this long non-coding RNA (958 nucleotides) under Anas platyrhynchos platyrhynchos (common mallard). RNAcentral's name for it is "lncRNA (ENSAPLG00000003940.2)". The record is from RNAcentral. Lineage: Eukaryota; Metazoa; Chordata; Aves; Anseriformes; Anatidae.